GAUGAACGCUGGCGGCGUGCCUAAUACAUGCAAGUCGAGCGAACAGACGAGGAGCUUGCUCCUCUGACGUUAGCGGCGGACGGGUGAGUAACACGUGGAUAACCUACCUAUAAGACUGGGAUAACUUCGGGAAACCGGAGCUAAUACCGGAUAAUAUAUUGAACCGCAUGGUUCAAUAGUGAAAGACGGUUUUGCUGUCACUUAUAGAUGGAUCCGCGCCGCAUUAGCUAGUUGGUAAGGUAACGGCUUACCAAGGCAACGAUGCGUAGCCGACCUGAGAGGGUGGUCGGCCACACUGGAACUGAGACACGGUCCAGACUCCUACGGGAGGCAGCAGUAGGGAAUCGUCCGCAAUGGGCGAGAACUUGACGGAGCAACGCCGCGUGAGUGAUGAAGAUCUUCGGAUCGUAAAACUCUGUUAUUAGGGAAGAACAAAUGUGUAAGUAACUAUGCACGUCUUGACGGUACCUAAUCAGAAAGCCACGGCUAACUACGUG
Molecule: ribosomal RNA, 497 nt
Filed under: uncultured bacterium
Lineage: Bacteria
Description: partial 16S ribosomal RNA
Rfam family: Bacterial small subunit ribosomal RNA
Source: RNAcentral